This is a long non-coding RNA of Mastomys coucha (southern multimammate mouse), 1910 nucleotides long. RefSeq lists it as uncharacterized. The record is from RefSeq and is a predicted model, not a curated record. The transcript is spliced from 2 exons. NCBI's taxonomy places the organism in Eukaryota, Metazoa, Chordata, Mammalia, Rodentia, Muridae.
UCUUCUCUAACCCCAUAAGCAAAAAGACCAGGGCAGCUCUCCCCUAGCCCCACUCCCCACUCCCAAAGACUGUUUUCUCCUGAGGAUACAGGAGAGGGUCCUUCAGUCCUCAGGGGCAUCUUGAGGAGUGAAGCAUGUCUUCCUUGCGUCAGGGAAGAAGAGUGGCUGGGUGAGAACAUGCCUUGGCAGAGAAGAAGCACUCUGAUGGUUAGAUGCGCUAUCUCUUCUAGCAUCAAACAGUACCGGCCGGCACAGGCCCAAGACUCUAGACUUCACUGAAAACACCAGCCAACUCCCUUGAGGCCACAGCAAACACUCCCCAUACUCAGUGAGCUCAGGGGACAGGGAUGCCAAUGAGACAACCCAGAAAGCCCAUCCUGGGGAUGCCGGGCCCCAGAGAGACGAGUCCUGGCCCUGUCCCCCUUUCUUUUGAGCAUGUCCCACUUAGGUCUCAGUGGAAAGAUGGCUAUGGCUCCAGACCAACCAGGAACCUUUGUGCUCAGCCUUGUGGAUACAGCACAGAUCUCUGGGGCUGCGCUAUGCACUACAGAUUGUUUACUGGGUCCAAGUAGGCACCAGGUGCCUCCACAACCAACCAUCUCCCUUGCCACCUCUUCUACUUGUUCUGUGGCUCAACUCCUUGAGGAAGACCCUUCUGGUACAAGUAUAUGAGGGUGUCAGGGGGAAAGUCACUGUAUUCAUUUCCUAGGAACGUCCAGACAAAAGACUGCAAGCAACAGAAAACUAGUCUCUCUUUUCUGGAAGCUCGAAGACUAAAAUCACAAAGUCGUCCGCAGGGCCAUGUUGCCCUAAGGACUCUCAGAAAGAGUCCUUCACUAGGCUCCUGGCUUCUGGUGGGUCCUGCAAUCCUUGGUGUCCUUUAACUUACCACUGUGUCUUUCUAUUCAGUGUCUCCAGGGCAGCUCUCUCCUCCUUUUUCCCACAUCCACUCCCCCUGCCACCUCCACAAAGACCUCUUGAGGAUACAGGAGAGGUCCUUCCAUCCUCAGGGGCACCUUGAGGAGUGAAGCCACCAUAGGUGAUCAUCAUGUAGCACACACCCAAGUGUGUAGACAUUGGAUUUGGGGCAUACCCUAAUCAAGGAUGGCCUCAAUUUGACCUAGUAUUGUAUCUGUAAAGACCUUGCUUCUGUGGACCACGUUGUGGGGUUGAAGAGCGCAGAGCAGCCUUGGCAUAGUCCACGCGGGGUGAUAUUUUAAGGAGAAGCAUCGGAUACAAAAGGAAGCCAGUUAGAGUAAGCACCGUGGCUCCAGGUCACAGGUAGAUGAAGCUUCGUGGAAUAGAGCCAAAGAGCCAAGAGGAAAUGGAAAUUAUUGGAUGUACUUAAGAAAACCUCAAGUCAUCAAAAUAGAAGGUCUGCAUUAUUGAAGCUAUAUUUGAGAAGUGAGACAGACGGCCCUCGGGAGAAUAUUGGGUGAUGCCAAAUCAGCAACUUAGCAGCCCUGGCCCUAGAAAGCGGCUCACUUCGGCCCUUCUUCUGACCCUACAAGCGAGAUCUGAAAGCUCCAGCAACAUUGGUCUCCUCCUGCACAACCAGACGAGUAGCAGAGUCGGAGCUCAGAGGGCGAAGCUCCCUGAAGAGGAACCACCUACGCCUACCUUGACUUAGCCCGCUCAAGUACACGCAGAGCGCCCCCUGCCGCGCUUAUGGUGUUUAUUCAUGAAAAAGGACACCCUAGAACAGAAAUUCCCUGAUCAGUCGCAGGUAGAGCCCCUCUGUGCGACCCAAAAGGUAAAGGCGAAGCUAAAGGAGGAGUUUGGGAAGGCACAAGACUCUGGUUUCCACAGAUGAGCAAUUUGCUCACCGGGAAUCCUACUCCCCACCCCUUGCCCCUGCCCUACAAUCCAACUAAGAGGCUAGAAUAAAAGAUUAAUAGAAGCUAAAAAAA